GACGAACACUGGCGGCGUGCUUAACACAUGCAAGUCGAACGGUAAGGCCCUUCGGGGUACACGAGUGGCGAACGGGUGAGUAACACGUGGGUGAUCUGCCCUGCACUUCGGGAUAAGCCUGGGAAACUGGGUCUAAUACCGGAUAGGACCCUGGGAUGCAUGUCCUGGGGUGGAAAGCUUUUGCGGUGUGGGAUGGGCCCGCGGCCUAUCAGCUUGUUGGUGGGGUGAUGGCCGACCAAGGCGACGACGGGUAGCCGGCCUGAGAGGGUGACCGGCCACACUGGGACUGAGAUACGGCCCAGACUCCUACGGGAGGCAGCAGUGGGGAAUAUUGCACAAUGGGCGCAAGCCUGAUGCAGCGACGCCGCGUGAGGGAUGACGGCCUUCGGGUUGUAAACCUCUUUCAGCACCGACGAAGCGCAAGUGACGGUAGGUGCAGAAGAAGGACCGGCCAACUACGUGCCAGCAGCCGCAGUAA
Molecule: ribosomal RNA, 478 nt
Filed under: uncultured bacterium
Lineage: Bacteria
Description: partial 16S ribosomal RNA
Rfam family: Bacterial small subunit ribosomal RNA
Source: RNAcentral